CCUACGGGAGGCAGCAGUGGGGAAUAUUGCGCAAUGGGCGAAAGCCUGACGCAGCGACGCCGCGUGAGGGAUGAAGGUCUUCGGAUCGUAAACCUCUGUCAGCAGGGAAGAAAGGUCACUGUGCUAAUCAGCAGUGAAUUGACGGUACCUGCAAAGGAAGCACCGGCUAACUCCGUGCCAGCAGCCGCGGUAAUACGGAGGGUGCGAGAGGUAAUCGGAUUGACUGGGCGUAAAGCGCUCGUAGGCGGUAUGUCAAGUCAAGGGUGAAAUCCCCGCGCUCAACGUGGGAACUUCCUUUGAAACUGGCAAACUGGAGUGUGUGAGAUGAUAGUGGAAUUCCAGGUGUAGGAGUGAAAUCCGUAGAUAUCUGGAGGAACAUCAGUGGCGAAGGCGACUAUCUGGCACAUAACUGACGCUGAGGAGCGAAAGCGUGGGUAGCAAACAGGAUUAGAUACCCGGGUAGUC
Molecule: ribosomal RNA, 465 nt
Filed under: uncultured bacterium
Lineage: Bacteria
Description: partial 16S ribosomal RNA
Rfam family: Bacterial small subunit ribosomal RNA
Source: RNAcentral